CGGAGCCGUGGCACGGAGCGCGGCAGGGCCGGGCACACACUGGCAGCGCGGCGGCCGCACCGCGGUGCCCACACGGGAUCCCCCCGGGCCGGAGACCAGAGCGGCCCCAGGGCAGCGCGGCCACCCGCCCGGCCCCCGCGCCGCCUCUGAGCGCCGGACAAACCGCCGCCCGCCCCUCGGCCGCUCCGCGCCCGCCCCUCGGCCGCUCCCCGCCCCGUUGCGAAGGAAGCGGCGUCUCCGGUUGCUACGAUGGCGGCGGCGCGGCCGGGUCGUGCCGAGAGGCGGCCCAGAGCUCGGCACUGACCUGCGGUGCAGGGCGGCGGGCCCGGGCCGCUGGAUGGAGCCCAGCGAGGGGCGCGGCCGGGCGGCGCGGGGGCCAAGCCGGCCUGGUGUCCCGCAGGACUGCGCGGGGGGCAGGCGGACCGCUGCUGCGGACAGAGCUUUAACAUUUCAUUUUGAACAGGAUUUAGAAGCAGAACGUCGGGCGUUGAAAGAAGAUCAAAAAAUAUGUCGGACCAGGGCACAGAAAUAUUCGAUAGAGACAAACAGAAGGAGGAGAGCCUUUGAAGAAAAACAGAAACGAGAAGAAGAAAAAGAACAAAGAUUUCGAGAACGAGUUCUGCAGCAGAGGAAAAUUAAACUCCAGGAAGCAACUGAUAAGUUCCAGCGGGCUCAUCUGCCUUCUUCUCAGCACAAGCAGAUAGUCCAGACAAAGGCAGCUUCUCAGUUAGAAGAAGCUCUUGAAAGAAUUAAAGGAUCAGUUUUAACACCAGGACUGUACUUGCCCAGCAGAAACAAAACCAACUUCAGAACCACAGAUGGCACUUCAUCCUCAUCAGCAUCUAGAAAAGGUUCUUGCCAUCAGAAGCAGAUUUCAGCAACGGUUGACUGGGAUAAAGCAAUACAAGAGAGCGGUAGAACAUACAUGGAUGGUAAUCAACUUCUCUUCCAGAAAAAUCUGAAAGAAAUGCAACUACUCCUUGAAAAACAGCAUCUCAGCAACUUGGAGAAUUUUCAUCAAGAAGUCAAGAAAACACAUGAUUCAGACAGCUUGUCAAGCCUUGACAGUCUUGAGGCUGGAGAACAAAAUGGAAAUUACACAACACCGAGUGAAUCAUCUUUGGCUGCACAGUGUGACUGUGCCCUGUACAAUCCAGAAAGAUCGCAGACUAGGAAUAAUCGUUUGCUUUAUACAGCUCAAAGUACUUCUAAAAAUGUGCAUCUAAAUAAUUGCCUGAGAAAUGCAGAUUCACAAAACAACCACAACUUACCUAUUCAUGAUCUUUUAGAUAAACAUAAUGUGCUAACUCCUGCCGAGCAUGUGCACAAUUCAGAAGAGGAAUCAUCUGCUUCCCACAAAUCUGGAAAAAUACCUGCAGAGUUCUUCACCUCUACUAAGCAAGAAAGCUCUAUAAACAAUGCAUUUCAUUUUCUGCAAAAGAUAAAUGAAGAAAGAAGCCGGUCAUUUUCUGGAAUUGUUAGCACACCAGCCACUGGUCAUCCUGUUUUCAAUCCUAGCAAAGCCUGGGCCAGCCCUGACUUUAUUCCAGGAGAAAAAGUUCAGGAUCUGAUGCAAGAUCAGAGUUUUAAAAUGACCCUGCAAAAAAGAACUAUAUCUGUGCAAACCCCCAGUCAACCUAUUGCAACAUCUAUAGUUUUAUUUCCUAAUCAGGGAUGUUCCACUGACAUUCCCAGCCCAGCUGAUACGUUACCAAAGGACAAAAACAUCAGUACAGAGCUUUUAAAAAAUAUCUCAGGAAAAAAGACUGAAACGAAAGAAGAAAAUAUUAAAUGUGUUGAUGAUAUUAAUCCAGGAUCAUCUUUAUUUCAGGACAUACCAAAUACCUCAGUUCUGUGUGAUUUUAAGCAGCAGAAUAACAGAGAAGAAGAAAAGGGAAAUAUGGCAGAAACCAUGUCACUCGUGUCCGAUACAGAGUUAAAUUCUAGCACUCCUGCGCAGCACAAAACCCUGAAAAACAAUAUUCUUGAAAGAAAAAGAGCAAGAUUAUUCACAAGUAUCUUAAAGAAAGAAACUAAGUAUGAACCCAGUCAUUUCAAAGCUGUGGUUAUGAACCACGAGAUCAUUUCUGGAACUCGACCCAUGUCUUCUAUCAGAGACAGCUUAGAACUGGCAAGAAUAAAAAAGAAAUGUGCAGAAAAUGAAAAAUACAAUAGGAAGCUAAGAUGGUGUGAUCAAAUUAACCAGGUAAUAGUAGAAACUAAUGAAAAAUGCUAUGAGAAAAACACCAGUGAAAUAUCUUCUGCACAGCUGCAAUAUGUUCAAACUACAAAUAAUGCUCCUAAGACUAAUUUAAGUAUUCUUGCUCAACCUUCAAACCCCAAGUUCAUAAAAAAUCAUCAGGAAAACUCUCAUAUAUCAAAACCAAAUGUUAAUACUGAAGAAUCAAAUAAAGACUGCACGUCUGUGAAUCUGUUUAUGUCUACUGGAUCCUUUUCUGCUAAAAAAGCUUGGAUGGUAUCAAAAGAUGAAGAAAGUAAACCCCUAGUAUGUAGCAAUAACUCUAAAAUUAAUAAUGUUGAUCAUCUCAAAAAUAAGGCAAAAAUGACGAGAAGACCAAGAUGUGUAAAAGCCCAGCCAGGUUUUGUGCCCAACAAGAGAACAGGAAUUAUAAUCCGACCACAGUCAGCUGCCGAAGCCAACAAAAUGCUGGGAGCUCCAGGGACCUUGGUGGCACCUCACCCACCAUCCGCACCUCUGCCAGGACAGAGGCGUGGGACAAACACGGCCAGCCCUGCGUGCCAGCCACCGCUGCCUUCGCGUCUUCACGCUCCCGCUACAAGCAGGAACGAUUUAAAUGAAAGGCACGUUUUGUUAGCAGACCAGCUUUUAAAUAGAAGCGGCACAGAAAACAGCGAGGGUGCUUGUAGUUCGGGCUCGGCCACUGUGAUAUCUACACCUGGCUGCAGCACAGCCAAACGCGAACCUUGGGCAAAAAAUACUUGUUCUGUAAAUAGUGUUCAGACAAGAGCCUGUCAAGAUCAUCCAGUAACCUGCACUGAAAGAAGACCUGUUAAGGCAGAAAAUGGAUUACAUCUCCAUCAUAUCCCAGCAGCUGGGAAAACAAGCAUCUCCUGGCAAGGAGCACAUGCUGCCCGAGCUCCGAGGGGCUCUGCUACUGUUCAAAGUCAAACAGAUGAGCUUGAGAUAUGUGUGACUGAAGUUAACCCAUUUGAUUUUACAUUGGAAAUGAAUGAAGCCUUGCAUUACCGCGCCUCGCCUCCGGCAGAGAGACUUUGCUUCUUGAUGUCCUUAUUUGCACAUCAGAUCAAUGAAUCGGGAAAUUCGUGGUGCAAAGCUGUGUGCACUGGAAAUGCUGCAGCUUCCAAUGCUGCGUCCCCAGUGUCACACAGCUCCAGCUCUUGGAGAGGAACAGCUGAGUGACCCCUUUUUAAAAUUUGGGUGGGUGGCCCUCUCUCAGUAUCUGCUUAGCUUUUGUGUUUUGAAAGUCUUCUUUAACGCUCUCAGUAGCUCUUAAUGACUUGCUAUUAUUUGAUCUAUUGCCUGCAAAUGCACAUUAGAACACAGUCUUUGUCCUGAAGUGCUUGAGAUGAGAGAUUGAAUACCACAUUGUUCUUGAGUAAAAUAUCUGCUGUGGCACUAUUACAGAGCUCAGGGAUGUCUAUGAGGACCCUGUAGAAAAUGUGAUCUGUUGCAAUGCUUGGCCAAAUGUAUGCUAUUGAAAAAAUAAGUGUGAACAACAUGAAAAAUUAAAUUGUUGUCCAUAAGGAUCUUCCUUUACUUUGGCUUCUAGGCAUCAAGUGGUAUAUCUUAUGACUGACACGUAUUAUUCUCUGUAGCUGGAUAUUAGAAUUGUUUUAGGCCUUUUGGUGAUCAAUCAGUAAAAUGCUUUAGAAAUGUGUGUAACAUUUAGCCUGUGACACACACAGGGCUCAUUCACAGGCUUGUAGUUAAACAGGGGUGGACUGCUCAGGAUCUCAUGCCCUUAAAGAGACUACGACGUAUUACAUUUGUCUUAGAUUUCCCAAAGGAGUCAUUUCCUUGGCACAGAUAUAGCAUGCCUUGCAAACUAAUUAAAUUAAAUGUUGAUGCAUAUCAACAGAGCAACUUUGCAUUUUAUUUUUCAGAAAAACGUUAUUUGAUUACUAAUACAACAAGGUGGUUCUUCUUUGAUUCUUUUUAAAUUUGCCCUCAUAUUCUGUAUAAUAUGCUCAGAUUUCCUUUUCUCUUCAGGUGCUAUUCAGCACUAUGUGUCACAUUACAAUAAUUCACACACAACUAAAUGGCAACCUUUUAAAACUAAUGUGUCCCCUGUUCCUAUUGAUGGCAGCAGCCAGAUGAGUAGUUUCAAAUCUGCUUCUAGGAUGAAUGAAUUGUUUUAUUUUUCCAGAAAUGCUAAGAACUCUGCUUUGUGAAAUGUCACUGUAAUAGCAACUGAAUUUUAAAAAAUAUAUUUUAAAUUCAAUAAAAGACCUCUUGGUCUAAUCAUGAACAGUACAUUAAACUGCACAUGUAAAUAUUUUUUAUGCAAAUAGGUAAUUUAUCAUCUCAAGUAUAAAUCAAGUAACUACAUUUACAAAUCAAGUAGCUGCAUUUACAAACGAGAAUAUAAUAUCUCCUUGCAUGUGCAGAUUCCUGACCUGCACAUGAAAAUGCUGAUUUGCAUGUCCAGUUUGUAUACAUGAAAGUUUAAUUGGGAACUUAGAUUUCGAAACUUGAUACCUUAAUAUUGAAAAUGUUGUAUGCGUGAGACAAAACUGAGAUAAAGUUGAGAUACAGUGUCUGUGUUAGGCCUCUCUAGCUCAGGGAAGAUACAGCAGUACUGUCUUCAUUAAAAUUAGUAUACAGUUGUAUAAGUUACUAUAUUAGUUGUAUAAAUUAGUAAGAUUGAGUAUAAAAUUCCAAGCUGUAGAACUAAGGUUUUAACCCAUGAUUUUACGUUCACAUCACUCCUGUGAGCCCACACCUGGAGGACUGUGUCCAGUUUUGAGCUCCUCAGUACAAGAGAGACACGGACAAACUGGAGAGAGUCCGACAAAGUGCCACAAAGAUGAUGAAGGGACUGGAGCACCUCUCCUGUGAGGAAAGGCUGAGAGAGUUGGGACUGUUCAGCCUGGAGAAGAGAUGGCUCACGGGGGGAUCUCAUCGAGUACACAAAGAUGUGAAAGGAGGGUGCAAAGAGGAGGGAUCCAGGCUCUUCUCAGUGGUGCCCAGUGACAGGACCAGGGGCACUGGGCACAAACUGCAGCACAGGAGGUUCCUUUUGAACACCAGGAAACAGUUUUUUACUGUGAGAGUGACUGAGCACUGACACAGGUUGCUCAAGGAUUUUCUGGAGUCUCUCUCCUUGGAGACAUUUGAAAGCCAUCUGGACGUUGUCCUGGGUAACCAGCUCUAGAUGGUCCUACUUGAGCAGGUGGGUCGGACCAGGUGACCUCAACAAGUCCCUUCUAACCUCAGCUGUUCUGUGAAUUCAAUCAACCAUGUGAACUAUUACAUGUUUUCUGGAUGGCACAAAAUAUUCUUCAAGGUCGGGUAGGAUGAGGCAUCCUGAUCUAGUUGAAGAUGUCCCUGCUCAUUGCAGGGGGAUUGGACUAGGUGACCUUUAAUUGUCUAUUCCAACCCAAACUAUUUCAUCAUUCUAUGUGAUAUUCUUAACAAAUGUUGAAUCCUUUAAGGUAUAAGAUAAGGCAUCUUGGCAACAGACAUUUACUGUGUUGGACAAUUAGACUUUGGGAUUAUUCUCUAAAUGCAACUGAUUUUCUAAAACACUAUUUUUGGGCACAUUAUUUAGUAUUUCCUCUAUCAUAGUUUGCUGCCUGUUCAUUCUCCUUCUCACUUUGUAAGACAACCUUUUAUCUUUGUACAGGCCACUUUAUUAACUGGGAUUCACUUAACUUGCCUAUAAAUGUCUACAUACAAUCUACAUCUGGAUUUUAUAGUCCUAUCCCAACAUGAAAUUAAAUAUUACUUAGAAGUGCCAGUUUCUCUCUUUUCACUAUAAUAAAAUAGAUUUAGCAAGAUCAAAUGUAAAGAUACACAAGGCAAACAUUUAAAUUUGGACAGAGAAAUUUACUCACCAUUACUGGUUUUGGCAUUAGUAGCUUUGUCAUGUUUUCACACAUUUUUGGUUUAUUUUUGGAUGCAUCUCAUUUAAGGUGUUGUUCCUGUUACAAGACAAAAGCAGGUUUUUGACAGUGGUGAAAAUGAACACAUUUCAGAACACAGAAAGCAAAUUGUAGCCUCUAAAAGAUGGAAGCCUUGUCAUCAUACACAGCUGAAUCCUGUCCAAUCUGCAUUUGAUCCAG
Columba livia (rock pigeon) is the source of this 6288-nucleotide RNA transcript. It is a transcript of the gene named centrosomal protein 126, with no coding region annotated. The record is from RefSeq and is a predicted model, not a curated record. NCBI's taxonomy places the organism in Eukaryota, Metazoa, Chordata, Aves, Columbiformes, Columbidae. The transcript has 8 exons.